UUUUUUUUUUUAAAUUUUCUUUGAUUAUUUUUUUUUUCCCUUUGGUUUUGCAAAGAGGUUGGGCAAACAUCAGAGCCACCAAGGCCAGGGCAGGAACCUAAGGUCAGAUAAAGUAGAAAUCAGGUCUGGAGUUCUAAUAAUGGCUGGAAGUCAAUUUUAUCACCACUACUGCCAUCCAUACUUCUACUCUUAUUGAUGCUGUUGGCCUGACUUCCUUGUGUGCUUCUCUUCACUCUACCAAGGUAUAAAAUUUGACUUCUCUACUGUCUUCGAUUACAGCCUUUUCCCAUUCAUGGGAUGCUCCCUCCAGUCUUG
Tyto alba (common barn owl) is the source of this 315-nucleotide long non-coding RNA. RefSeq lists it as uncharacterized. The record is from RefSeq and is a predicted model, not a curated record. NCBI's taxonomy places the organism in Eukaryota, Metazoa, Chordata, Aves, Strigiformes, Tytonidae. The transcript has 3 exons.